AGUGAACGCUGGCGGUAGGCCUAACACAUGCAAGUCGAACGGCAGCACAGUAAGAGCUUGCUCUUACGGGUGGCGAGUGGCGGACGGGUGAGGUAUACAUCGGAAUCUACUUUUUCGUGGGGGAUAACGUAGGGAAACUUACGCUAAUACCGCAUACGACCUACGGGUGAAAGCAGGGGAUCUUCGGACCUUGCGCGAUUGAAUGAGCCGAUGUCGGAUUAGCUAGUUGGCGGGGUAAAGGCCCACCAAGGCGACGAUCCGUAGCUGGUCUGAGAGGAUGAUCAGCCACACUGGAACUGAGACACGGUCCAGACUCCUACGGGAGGCAGCAGUGGGGAAUAUUGGACAAUGGGCGAAAGCCUGAUCCAGCCAUACCGCGUGGGUGAAGAAGGCCUUCGGGUUGUAAAGCCCUUUUGUUGGGAAAGAAAAGCAGCAGGUUAAUACCCCGCUGUUCUGACGGUACCGAAAGAAUAAGCACCGGCUAACUUCGUG
Molecule: ribosomal RNA, 492 nt
Filed under: uncultured bacterium
Lineage: Bacteria
Description: partial 16S ribosomal RNA
Rfam family: Bacterial small subunit ribosomal RNA
Source: RNAcentral